AGAGUUUGAUCCUGGCUCAGUAUAUUAAGUCGUAACAAGGUAGCCGUAGAGUUUGAUCCUGGCUCAGAGCGAACGCUGGCGGCAGGCUUAACACAUGCAAGUCGAGCGGGCACCUACGGGUGUCAGCGGCAGACGGGUGAGUAACACGUGGGAACGUACCCUUCGGUUCGGAAUAACGCUGGGAAACUAGCGCUAAUACCGGAUACGCCCGUAUGGGGAAAGGUUUACUGCCGAAGGAUCGGCCCGCGUCUGAUUAGCUAGUUGGUGGGGUAACGGCCUACCAAGGCGACGAUCAGUAGCUGGUCUGAGAGGAUGAUCAGCCACACUGGGACUGAGACACGGCCCAGACUCCUACGGGAGGCAGCAGUGGGGAAUAUUGGACAAUGGGCGCAAGCCUGAUCCAGCCAUGCCGCGUGAGUGAUGAAGGCCUUAGGGUUGUAAAGCUCUUUUGUCCGGGACGAUAAUGACGGUACCGGAAGAAUAAGCCCCGGCUAACUUCGUGCCAGCAGCCGCGGUAAUACGAAGGG
Molecule: ribosomal RNA, 527 nt
Filed under: uncultured bacterium
Lineage: Bacteria
Description: bacterial SSU rRNA
Rfam family: Bacterial small subunit ribosomal RNA
Source: RNAcentral